CUAUCCUUAGUUUAUUUUAGAAUGUUAAUUUGUCGUAUUGUUGGUGUUGAAUAGUUUUGACAGGGUGGU
This 69-nucleotide transfer RNA is filed under the name Haematoloechus sp. CW13H. RNAcentral describes it as "tRNA-Asp". The record is from RNAcentral. Lineage: Eukaryota; Metazoa; Platyhelminthes; Trematoda; Plagiorchiida; Haematoloechidae.